Long non-coding RNA from Uranotaenia lowii, 858 nucleotides. RefSeq lists it as uncharacterized. NCBI's taxonomy places the organism in Eukaryota, Metazoa, Arthropoda, Insecta, Diptera, Culicidae. The record is from RefSeq and is a predicted model, not a curated record. The transcript is spliced from 3 exons.
UGUUUCCAUCCGACAUACAAUUAAUCAUCAUAUUCUGAUUGAAUUCGUCUGUAUCUGGAAAACGGCGCAGGACCGGAAGCCAAAUCCAACAAUUUCGACAGCAGUUGAAUGCGUCUCGAGUACAGUGGAAACAAGGCGGUCCGGGACACGGUAGUUUUUACUAAUCAGUUUCAGGAAAUCAAAGGUGGUGCUCUACGAUGGAAACAGAUGACCAAUCUGGAUAAAAUUGGAAAUGUCGCAAUCGGUAGUUGUGCUCAACUCAGAGCUGGGAUUUAUAAAAAAAAAACCGUUACAACAAAUCGGGUUUGAAAACCCUUGCUGAUGAGGUUUACCAAUAUCACAACGAUAACGAGUGCAUAAUGUUUUUUCAAAGCCUGGAUGUGUUCAUUUGAAAUCAGAUUGCUUUAACUACAAAACAUGGACAGGUAAUAAUCAUGCUGCAUUCCACUGAAAAGUUUAAAUAAUUAAAAACCUUUUUCCUGAAAACAUAUAGGAUCAGUUUUGACUCGCUAAUAUGGCCACAUGAUGAUACAUUUUUUAACCGAAUUUAAAGAAGAUUUGGGUGACAUGUGAAGGAACAGCUCUACUGGUCGAUGACUUAGAUCCUCUGAUUUAUCCACUGGAUUUGGCUCUAGAUGGUCGAAGGUUGUGAGGCCGGUCACCGGUCAGACAUCGUCGGAUAUCGUUAACAGUUUCCAGAUGCACUGGAAAAUUUUUGAUAUCGACUUUACAGCAGGAGCAUCAUCAUUGGUUAUCCGAAAAGGAACACAAUCUUAAAUGGAACAGGAACACUUAUAAGGAACGUUAAAAACAAAGUGUGAUAUGAUUACAAAUUAAUGUUGAGUAGAAACAACAAAA